RNAcentral lists this ribosomal RNA (470 nucleotides) under uncultured bacterium. Its description in RNAcentral is "partial 16S ribosomal RNA". It matches the Rfam family "Bacterial small subunit ribosomal RNA", at positions 28 to 523 of the family's 1533-position model. The record is from RNAcentral.
GACGAACGCUGGCGGCGUGCUUAACACAUGCAAGUCGAACGGGAGUAUCGAAGAAGCUUGCUUUUAAGAUACUUUAGUGGCGGACGGGUGAGUAACGCGUGAGGAGCUGUCCUAUGCAGGGGGACAACAGUUGGAAACGACUGCUAAUACCCCAUAAGCCGAGAGGUAAAAGGAUUUAUCCGGCAAAGGAGGUACUCGCGUCCUAUCAGCUAGUAGGUGGGGUAACGGCUCACCUAGGCGAAGACGGGUAGCCGGCCUGAGAGGGCGAACGGCCACACUGGAACUGAGACACGGACAAAACCCCUACGGGAGGCAGCAGUGGGGAAUAUUGCAAAAGGGGCGAAAGCCUGAUGCAGCAACGCCGCGUGAGCGAUGAAGGCCUUGGGGUCGUAAAGCUCUGUCCUAAAGGAAGAUAAUGACGGUACUUGAGGAGGAAGCCCCGGCUAACUACGUGCCAGCAGCCGCAGUAA